RNAcentral lists this ribosomal RNA (492 nucleotides) under uncultured bacterium. Its description in RNAcentral is "partial 16S ribosomal RNA". It matches the Rfam family "Bacterial small subunit ribosomal RNA", at positions 29 to 507 of the family's 1533-position model. The record is from RNAcentral.
AGUGAACGCUGGCGGUAGGCCUAACACAUGCAAGUCGAACGGCAGCACAGUAAGAGCUUGCUCUUACGGGUGGCGAGUGGCGGACGGGUGAGGAAUACAUCGGAAUCUACUUUUUCGUGGGGGAUAACGUAGGGAAACUUACGCUAAUACCGCAUACGACCUACGGGUGAAAGCAGGGGAUCUUCGGACCUUGCGCGAUUGAAUGAGCCGAUGUCGGAUUAGCUAGUUGGCGGGGUAAAGGCCCACCAAGGCGACGAUCCGUAGCUGGUCUGAGAGGAUGAUCAGCCACACUGGAACUGAGACACGGUCCAGACUCCUACGGGAGGCAGCAGUCGGGAAUAUUGGACAAUGGGCGCAAGCCUGAUCCAGCCAUACUGCGUGGGUGAAGAAGGCCUUCGGGUUGUAAAGCCCUUUUGUUGGGAAAGAAAAGCAGCAGGUUAAUACCCCGCUGUUCUGACGGUACCCAAAGAAUAAGCACCGGCUAACUUCGUG